RNAcentral lists this long non-coding RNA (1259 nucleotides) under Homo sapiens (human). RNAcentral's name for it is "HSALNT0016862". Lineage: Eukaryota; Metazoa; Chordata; Mammalia; Primates; Hominidae. The record is from RNAcentral.
GUAAGCCAGCUGGAACUCCCUGGGGGAGUUGGGGCCUCAUGGGUAGGGGCCUGCAGCAUGUGUGUGUUGGAGACCAGGCUGGGUUCAGUGUGUGGAUGUGUAUAGUAUCUGUACCCGCUCCCCAUGGAGCUGUAGUAGAUUAGGUGACAUUGGACCCCCUAAUCUGCAGGCCAUAGAGGGAACAUGGGACAUCUCCAGGCCAACUCCUUUUCUUAGUGAUGAGCAGUGACUUGCUUGAGCCCUGUUUUCUUUAGACGCUGACUCCUGCUGUCUACCAGAUCCUCGUGGUACAAUGACUGGUGUAGACUGGCUUGUUGAAGUCACUCUCUGGAUCUGAGCAACGCUGGCUGAGCCGUGAUGAAGUAUUCCUAUCCAUCCACUAUGCUUCACAGUGGGAAUCUCUCACUGUUCAUCACCGCUGCCCUAGCAGCCGCAGGGAUUCUUCACCCAUGGUUGCUUAGGUUUAUAAGCAAGGAAGCUGAAUGAAGUCCCUUUCCUCUCUGGAUGAGCCCCUGGGUUUCUGGAAGAGUCUUAAAAUCACCCCUAAAUGGCUUCCAAGCACUGAAGCCCGAGAUGUUAGCUGGCCUGUGUGAGGCCUUGAGACAGAAUGCCACAGCCACACCCCAAGGAUGCUGAAGGGGAUUUCCCUCCUCUGUGGUUUUUCUCCUUUCUUCCCGCAGCACUCCUCCUACGUGCUAACAUCUUCUAGUCAAACAACUCUCCUUUUCAAAGGGACCAGGCACAGUUUCUGCUUAUCCCUGAGUAGCAGUGUUCAGUUUCCUGCCAGCCUGUGGAGUUUUUCAAACAAGCCAAUCACCUCCUCCUGUGGGAACUGAGAAGCACCCCACCCUCUCGAUACUACAAAGCCCCUGCUUGUUCCCUAGUGCAACUCCCAUGUGGUCCUGUGGAGCAUAUGGUAUCUUCCUCUUCUGGGCAGUGAGCAUAUGUGACUAAUAAACUAUCUAUCUCAUCUGUUCAGUGCCAGGUGUCAUUUGUUCUGCCAUCCCAUGACCUAGGGUGGGGAUUCCUUCCACACCAACAGGGUGAAUGCAAGGUGAUUAAAACAAGAAGCCUCUUCAGGAUCUAUAUCCUAGGGAAAAAAUUAAACAACAACAACAAAACAAGAAGCUUCAACUCUGACCCUGUAUUCCAGAUGUGUUACAGGGGCCUGUCUCCCCAGAGCCACUCUCCAGGUCAGAGCUUACCUCCCCUUGCUCAGGGUUAGGAGCUCUGGGCAGGAAAAGGACAUCAUGUUAAAA